GACGAACGCUGGCGGCGUGCUUAACACAUGCAAGUCGAACGGAAAGGCCCUUCGGGGUACUCGUGUGGCGAACGGGUGAGUAACACGUGGGUGAUCUGCCCUGCACUUUGGGAUAAGCCUGGGAAACUGGGUCUAAUACCGAAUAUGAUCAUCGGCUUCAUGGUCGGUGGUGGAAAGCUUUUGCGGUGUGGGAUGGGCCCGCGGCCUAUCAGCUUGUUGGUGGGGUAAUGGCCUACCAAGGCGACGACGGGUAGCCGGCCUGAGAGGGUGACCGGCCACACUGGGACUGAGAUACGGCCCAGACUCCUACGGGAGGCAGCAGUGGGGAAUAUUGCACAAUGGGCGCAAGCCUGAUGCAGCGACGCCGCGUGAGGGAUGACGGCCUUCGGGUUGUAAACCUCUUUCAGCACAGACGAAGCGCAAGUGACGGUAUGUGCAGAAGAAGGACCGGCCAACUACGUG
This 462-nucleotide ribosomal RNA is filed under the name uncultured bacterium. RNAcentral's name for it is "partial 16S ribosomal RNA". It matches the Rfam family "Bacterial small subunit ribosomal RNA", at positions 28 to 507 of the family's 1533-position model. The record is from RNAcentral.